This 848-nucleotide long non-coding RNA is filed under the name Phoenix dactylifera (date palm). RNAcentral's name for it is "long non-coding RNA (PDAC_LNC013674)". The record is from RNAcentral. Lineage: Eukaryota; Viridiplantae; Streptophyta; Magnoliopsida; Arecales; Arecaceae.
ACAAUGAUAAUCAGAAAAAGCAGGAUUGUAAACAUGUUGCUUGUAAAAAGAAUGAAUAACAAAUAAAAUAUGAUGGACGCCAAAAAAAUAAAAUAUGACCAUAAUUAUAUGUAUUGUGUUUGAACAACAUUCUUGCCUGCGUCAGAACAAUCCAACCAUCAUUAAAAAUUCCGACGAUAAUAAGUCUUGUGUGCAUGAUAAAAAUCAAAUAACAAAGUUAAAUCAAAUACAACUUAUUGCAGCUUCACAAGUUCAGUAGUACAGAUGUUGAAAUGACAAUAUUUCUAGGUGUGGUAAUGAGCGUUAGAGUCACUCUGCAAAUAUAUCAAUUAUCAAUGGUGUCUAGGCACAUGCUGCUGCUAAAAUCCCCUAUAUCCUACCAAAAUUGCUAAAGAAAAACUCUUAAGAUAAUCAUAGAGAAAGAAAUUGCCAAGAUAACAUAGGCUACAAAAGAAAGUUAAGAUGCUUCGGCUCAUUAACUUUCAAAAAGUCAGAAUUGUCAAUAUAUCAAUCACUUUGAGAAUGAAAGUACUAAAGACAUCCACAGAAUACAAAUGAAGGUUGAGAUGUUUUAGCUCAUUAAAUUUAAAAAAGUCUAGAAUGUCAAUAUAGCAAUCACUUUGAGAAUAAACAUACUAAAGACAUUCCACUGAGAAUUCUUUACUCAUGUUACCACAUGCUUGACUAGUACAGUACGCGGGACAUGGAUUUGGCACAAACUACUCCAAGGAAUGAUUCCUAGAACUGAUUUCAGUAAUAUUCAAAGUUCCUUGCCGUCUCUGUGUCAAAUUUUCUUUCUUCUUUUCUGUUCCUUCUCUAUUGCUUAAAUCUCAGCGCCGACCAUCUUU